UUGGAGGGCAAGUCUGGUGCCAGCAGCCGCGGUAAUUCCAGCUCCAAUAGCGUAUAUUAAAGUUGUUGCAGUUAAAAAGCUCGUAGUUGAAUUUUAGGCCUGGCCAGGCGGUCCGUCUUUGGCGAGUACUGUCUUGUUGUCGGGUCUUCCUUCUGGUGAACCAGUAUGUCCUUUAUUGGGUGUGUUGGGGAGCCAGGACCAUUACCUUGAAAAAAUUAGAGUGCUUAAAGCAGGCUAUCGCCUGAAUACAUUAGCAUGGAAUAAUGAAAUAGGACGGCAUGGUUCUAUUUUGUUGGUUUCUAGGAUCACCGUAAUGAUUAAUAGGGAUAGUUGGGGGCAUUAGUAUUCAAUUGUCAGAGGUGAAAUUCUUGGAUUUAUUGAAGACUAACUUCUGCGAAAGCAUUUGCCAAGGAUGUUUUCAUUAAUCAAGAACGAAAGUUAGGGGAUCGAAGACGAUCAGAUACCGUCGUAGUCUUAACCAUAAACUAUGCCGACUAGGGAUCGGACGAUGUUAAUUUUUUAAUGACUCGUUCGGCGCCUUACGGGAAAC
RNAcentral lists this ribosomal RNA (550 nucleotides) under uncultured Ambispora. RNAcentral's name for it is "SSU rRNA". It matches the Rfam family "Eukaryotic small subunit ribosomal RNA", at positions 548 to 1098 of the family's 1831-position model. Lineage: Eukaryota; Fungi; Glomeromycota; Glomeromycetes; Archaeosporales; Ambisporaceae. The record is from RNAcentral.